Long non-coding RNA from Oryza sativa Japonica Group (Japanese rice), 1478 nucleotides. RefSeq lists it as uncharacterized. The record is from RefSeq and is a predicted model, not a curated record. Lineage: Eukaryota; Viridiplantae; Streptophyta; Magnoliopsida; Poales; Poaceae.
UUCAGGGAGAGUGUCAAGUAGUUGGGUCCCACUGUCCUUUUUUGCUUUUUUACUUUAUUUUUUUCCUCUGCUUUUCUAUUCCUCUCGGCAUCUCCUCUUCUCUUUCUUUUUUUUUUUUUGACGCAGCUCUUCUCUUUCUUCGCUUCUUUCUCUCGCUUCUCUUCUUCACCACGCGCGCAUGGCGAUGGCAGGAUAAAACCGACGGACAGCAUCGAGGCACCGAGGCAGGGCAGGAGGCAGGAAGAGCCGUCAUCAGCCGAGCAAGGAAUCACAGGGCAGGUGGAGCGGCGUCGGGUGCUCCGAUGGCACAUGAAGCAGAGCGGAGAGGGGUGGCGGCGGUGGGGUGCAGAGGAGACCCAGGCAGGACGGCGAGGACGACGACGACGCGGCGGGCAACCUCCUCGCCCGGCCACCUCCGCCGUUGCUGCCCCCUCCUCCACCCACCUCCACCUGCCGACUAUGCUCCUCCUCCGGCGGGCGGCGGAGCGGAGCGGGGGUGGCGGCUGGCGAAGGGUAAGGAGCCCGCCACGUCAGCUCCGGCAACGGCGACGGCAUCGGCAUCGUGGUGAGGGGUAGGCGGCUUGGGAUCGGGGGCCUCGACGACGGGCGGCUCGGGAUUGGGAUCGACGGAGAGGGAUGGGGUGAAGAGGACCAUCGCUGCCGACCCAUGUGUCGCCGCCGCCGCCUUCGUCGUGGGACGCCAUCGCGGCGAGGUGAGGUCUCGAGGGUCCGCUCUGCUGGCUGCGCGCUCGCGGGCCUGCUUCGGACGCACGCCGCCGCUUCGCUCCGCCGGCCGCAUGCUCGCCCGCCGCGCGCCCGCAAAUGCUCUGUCGCCUCUUGUCCGCCUCCACCGCCGGCCGCUCUGCUCCCUCUCUCGGACCUCCUCUCCCUUCUCUCCCGCCAGCGCGGCCGGCCGCCUCUCCCCAUCUGCGCCGGCGGCGGAGCUCGGCCGGGCUCGCUCGCCGGCCACCUCGCCCCCAUCUGCCGCUCUCUGCUACCCGCUCCGCACCGCCUCCAUUCCACUUUGCCGGCCGCGCGCCCGCCGCCGCCGCCGCCGCCGCCACCCCACUCUACUCCGCCGGUCGCCGCCCGCUCACCGCCUACUCCGGCCGCUCGUCGCCACCCGUCACCGCUCACCUCUGUGGCAAAGAGAAGAAAGAAAAGAGGAGAGAGAGGAGAGAAAGAGAAAAACAAGAAAAUGUGGGCCCCACAUUUUUUUCCAUUCUCACUUACAUGUGGGCCCCAUAACUUUUUUAUUUUUUAUUUUGCUGACUAGGAUGCCACGUCAGCGAAACCACCCAUAUAAGCUGCCAUGGGACCUCCUUUGAACGGUUUGAGUAAGUUUAGGGGUGUACAUUUCUGGUUUUGUGGUUAAGGGACUAAAAAAAUCUCGCUUUUAAGUUUAGGGACCUCCGGUGAACUUAUUCCCCGUGAUUUCUACCGUGCCGGGCCGUCGUGCCUUGGGCCGGUCUGAUAAA